This 65-nucleotide transfer RNA is filed under the name Coptosoma variegatum. RNAcentral's name for it is "tRNA-Phe". The record is from RNAcentral. Lineage: Eukaryota; Metazoa; Arthropoda; Insecta; Hemiptera; Plataspidae.
ACUUAAGUAGCUUAAAUUGAAAGCUUAAUAUUGAAGAUAUUAUUAUGAGUGAGACUCCUUAGGUA